GACGAACGCUGGCGGCGUGCUUAACACAUGCAAGUCGAACGGAAAGGCCCUGCUUUUGUGGGGUGCUCGAGUGGCGAACGGGUGAGUAACACGUGAGUAACCUGCCCUUGACUUUGGGAUAACUUCUGGAAACUGGGGCUAAUACCGGAUAGGAGCUCCUGCUGCAUGGUGGGGGUUGGAAAGUUUCGGCGGUUGGGGAUGGACUCGCGGCUUAUCAGCUUGUUGGUGGGGUAGUGGCUUACCAAGGCUUUGACGGGUAGCCGGCCUGAGAGGGUGGCCGGCCACAUUGGGACUGGGAUACGGCCCAGACUCCUACGGGAGGCAGCAGUGGGGAAUAUUGCACAAUGGGCGGAAGCCUGAUGCAGCAACGCCGCGUGCGGGAUGACGGCCUUCGGGUUGUAAACCGCUGUCGCCUGUGACGAAGCGUGAGUGACGGUAAUGGGUAAAGAAGCACCGGCUAACUACGUG
Molecule: ribosomal RNA, 468 nt
Filed under: uncultured bacterium
Lineage: Bacteria
Description: partial 16S ribosomal RNA
Rfam family: Bacterial small subunit ribosomal RNA
Source: RNAcentral